This 492-nucleotide ribosomal RNA is filed under the name uncultured bacterium. RNAcentral describes it as "partial 16S ribosomal RNA". It matches the Rfam family "Bacterial small subunit ribosomal RNA", at positions 29 to 507 of the family's 1533-position model. The record is from RNAcentral.
AGUGAACGCUGGCGGUAGGCCUAACACAUGCAAGUCGAACGGCAGCACAGUAAGAGCUUGCUCUUACGGGUGGCGAGUGGCGGACGGGUGAGGAAUACAUCGGAAUCUACUUUUUCGUGGGGGAUAAUGUCGGGAAACUUCCGCUAAUACCGCAUACGACCUACGGGUGAAAGCAGGGGAUCUUCGGACCUUGCGCGAUUGAAUGAGCCGAUGUCGGAUUAGCUAGUUGGCGGGGUAAAGGCCCACCAAGGCGACGAUCCGUAGCUGGUCUGAGAGGAUGAACAGCCACACGGGAAGUGAGACAGGGUCCAGACUCCUACGGUAGGCAGCAGUGGGGAAUAUUGGGGAAUGGGCGCAAGCCUGAUCCAGCAAUACCGCGUGGGUGAAGAAGGCGCUAGGGUGGGAAAGCCCUUUUGUUGGGAAAGAAAAGCAGCAGGUUUAUACCCCGCUGUUCUGACGGUACCCAAAGAAUAAGCACCGGCUAACUUCGUG